GGUGAUGUGGCUGCUUUGGGGUUACCCCACCCUUGUUCCUAUAAGUAAGUGUCAUAACUGUAUCAGUUCAUCAAGGCGGACAUGGAGGGAACCCUUACUUUGGUCUGUCUGAAUAGGCAUUUGUUCACCUCCCCAGGAGAAGUAAGGCAGGAAUCCCUAAGCUGGUUUCUGUCUAAUAAUUUUCUAAAAUCUUUAAAGAUUCGUGCAGUAGUUUUAGGUGGAAUAGUACAUUUUAAAAUGUUUUACAUGUAUUUGUGUGUGUAUGUCUGUGUGUCCAUGCCAUGGCACGUGUGUGGAGGUCAGAGAGCAACUUGUGGGAGCCGAUUUUCUCCUUUCAGCAUGUUGAGUUCUGAGAAGCAAACUCAGGUUUUUCCUUAUGCCCACCUCUGAUGCUUUGUCCUCUGAAGCCUCUUGCCCAUCCAAAAGUACACGUUCAAAAGGUUUCUUUAUAUUAUUUCUAACUAUAUGAAGGCAUGCGUGUAUGCGCACAUGAGACCCAGUGCCCGAGGAGGCCAGAGGUUUUAGAUCCUGUGCACCUAGAGUUUCAGAUGGUUGUGAGCCUUCCACAGUGUGGGUACUGAAUGGAAGCUGGACUGCUUUACAGUCUACACCUUCUAGGAAGCAGUACAGAUCCGAGACAGAUGAUUAAAGCAGGAGGGGGCCUUGCUUGCCACACAAGACACAUCUUACAUCUUAUGCAAUAAUAUCUGGUUUGUCUCCAAAGACAAAGUAAACAAAACAAAUUGGCUCUAAGCACUUGUAAAUUAGUCUGUUCUGGUGACAAAAGUUGUUGGUAGAGGGAUGGCUCUGAGCUAUAGGUGUUCUGUGGACCUGUGGGUUUCCAGGAGUUGGGAGGCAAAGGAAUCAUUCUCCUUGUAGAGUCUGAAGAGCAACCCCACCACUGUUCAGUGCCAAAGACUAUAGUUUAAACAGUUGGGAUCUUUAACACUCGGACAGAGAGCUGAUGCAGCCCUGCUGAGCUCUGAAUUUCAAAAUGAGGAGAGCAGAGGAUCCUAACAGCCAUAUAAGACAGAAACUACUGUUUCUGGCUCUUCUCCUGCUGGUGCAGAGUAGUAACCUGAUGGGCUUAGAGCCUCUGGCAAGCUUAAAGCUAGCCACCACCUAGGUGUUCGGUUUCUAACCUUGUUGGUAAAGCCAAACCACACGCACUUGGUUCUGAGAAAACCAACCAAUAAUGUAAGAGUCAGUUCCAGAGACUAACUGGCAGUUCGCAGGACCUGGGAAGUUUGAGCAGACGUCUUGCUCUUACUGGCCUGGCCUGUCUUUCCCCUGUUAAGAAGACAAAUGCCCUUUCUGGCUCUGAGCUCACUCCAGCUAUAACUUGAUAAACAUAUAUUAGUUUUCCUUCCUUCCUUCCUUUUCUCUCUCUCUCUCUCUCUCUCUCUCUCUCUCUCUCUCUCUCUCUCUGUCUCUCUCUCCUACCCUCCCUCCCUUCUUCCUUCCUUCCUUUCUUCCAAUCCCUGCUUCCUUGUGUUUCUCCAUCCCUUCCUUUCACACAGUCCAGGCUGUCCUCUAAAUCCUUAAAUAGUAAGGGUGACCUUGAAGUUCUAAUCCUCCUGCCUUCACCUCCCAUGGCUAGGAUUAGAGAUUCAGACCAUCAUGCCUGGUUUCAUGCUGAGCUGGAAAUGAUACCCAGAGCUUCCUGAAGGCUGGACAAACACUUGAGCAACAAACCUACUUUCCUCAGCCCAUGUAUGCCUAUUUCCGGAGAGGACUAUCAAUAUACUUAGGAUAAAGUGUGGCAAAGGCUGGCAAAAUCCAUCUCUGACAUGUUUGCCUACAAAUCCAGCUUUUCCCUAUCACUUGUACCCAAAGGCCUCGUGAAGUAGGUAAAAUUGAGAAUGGACAUAAGAAUUCAUUUCUGGUCUAUCUUCCUCUAAGACCUGCCCAUGCCUGCGUACAUGCGCACGUGCGUGCAUGUGUGUGUUAGUUUAUUUUAUUUUGUAUUGACAAACUUGUAAUCUUCCCACCUUAGUCGACUACUUGCUGGGAUUAUAGGCAUGAGCUACCAUGCCUGGUUCGCUUUCUUCACUCUUAAGAAAGAGAGAGAGGCAUUGGGGGUUGGGGGAGGGGGGCACAAUUGCAGAGUGACUUGCUAAGACUGCCCGCUGGUCUUUAGAAGAACUCUGUCUUGAGUCCCGUGUGACGUCCGCACUGCGUGGUCCCAGAAUGUGAUGUGGGUGAUGACUAGGAAUGGCCUGCUUCCUAGCCCUGCCAUCCCAAGGCCAUCGCUCUGGAUCACAGUCUUAGUCUCCUUUGUCCUUUCCGGGAUUAUCACUGUAUGGUUUAAAUGCAUAUGCUUCUUCAAACUUAAACCCUAAGGUGACUAGAUGAGGUCACAGGGGGUAGGGGGUGGAUGAGGCUAUGAUGCUCCAUUCUCAAAGAUGUUAUCCAUUCCCUUAUAAAAAGCUAUGAGGGCACACAUUUAUCCCAUUUUGUCCUUCCAGUCUGCAUGAGGACACAAUAGACUGAGUGAAGCCCUUCUUCCACAACCAAGUCAUUUGGUACUGUCACCUUAGACUUCAUCCCCCAGACUAAAGAAUUGUGAGGAGUACGUUUAUGUUAUUUGUUAAUUACGUCAUUCAAAGGCAUUUUGCGAUUGCAGCAGGGUUGGACAAAGGUAAUUACCUAAUUGUCACCGGGCCUCUGUGUAUUAGUCAGCUUUCUGUUGCUGCGACAACAUACCCGAGACAUACGACUGGAAGGGAGAAAAGGUUUCAGUCCCUCAUCACUUGUCUAUUUAUUGCUUUAGGCCUGUAGCAUACGAUAAGGGUGACCUUGGGAGCCAGGAAGUGAAUGACUGAGAGAAGCAAGGCCAUGAUUUCAAUAUCCCCUUUAUGGCUGCAUUCCCAGUGACCCAACUUCCUCCCACUAGGGUUUAACUCUCAGCAGUUUUGACCGAUCCCAAUAGCACCACAGCUUGGAGACCAAGUUGUUAGUCCAUGAACUUUGGAGAGGUAUUAAAGAUACAGGAUAUAGCACGUGUUUCCUGAUAGGAAUAAGCUACAGAUGUAUGACCUUGUCCUGAUUCACAUUUACAAUAAGAGGGGGCAUCAGUUGACACUGUGGCAUGUUUUGCUGGUGGGACAUUCAAUGGUAUAAAUAGGGACCACAUAACAUCAUCAUGUGACUUUUUGUUUGGCCUGGUAUGCCUUAACCCCGAGGUGGACCUUAAUUGGUUUCAGGUGUAUGGUUAGUAGGUUCAUGAUGUUCUCAAUCUUCCUUCGGCCUCCCACUGCCCUACAAUGUCUUCGCCUUGGGUUGUGCUUUGAGCUGGAACUCGGUGGGGGUUGGGGGAGGUAAAGCUCUCGUGAAGAUGCUCUGUCUUUAUCACAUGUCUGAAAUCUCUGCUGCAACGGAAGAGAAGCCAGAGACGGAUGAUAAUUACCGAGAUUCAAUUCCUCGGACCUCUCAAUGGGAACCUCAGGCAGGGCCCAGAGAAGGGCUCAAAUAGCAAAGCUCUGUAAGUGCAUGGCUUACCAGGAGCCUAGGUAUUGUUUAAAAUGGGGAGAAAUGUGCUUUGAGCUCCGAACUGUGGGUGAUCUAAGGAAAGAAUAAGAGUCAACACUGGGCCUUGGCAGAGUAGUCCAUAGUGGCCUUUGUGACACUGCGUAUUUGAUAAAUAGUCCAAUUUCAGUCUUCUCAUCUUAUGUGGCCCAUAUAGCUAAUGGUUCAGCAGUUCCUUGUCUCCUGUCCUGAUCUGUGGCUGAGUGAAAAGGUAAGUGUCUCUGUAGGUACCCGCUAACCCAUCUACAGCCAAAACCAAAUAAGAAAAUGUAGAAAAGUUUUUAUAUCAAGAAUGUCUUGGGCUGGGGAUAUAACAUAGUGGGUAGGGUAUUUGCAUGACAUGAACACGGUCUUGGGUUCAAUCCUUCAGCACUGCAUAGAACCCCAACGCUCCUGUAAUCCUCUCAUUGCUGUAGUGGGAGAAGACUCCGGGAUUCAAGGACAUCCUUAGCUAUGCAUGGAGCCCAGUCUGGAUUACAUAAGAUCCUGUCUUUAAAAACAUAAUUUAUUUCAAAAAGCAGCCCCGAGAAUAUGCUGUUAUUUUUCCCUGUGAAGAUUUUCUAAGCCUUUGUGUUUCUGGCUCUAUGGGUAAAUAAUCGGAAGAAGAAUAGUCUUUCUUGUGGAGGGAAGGGAAAAGACCAUGUCUUGGGCACUAGGGAAGCCUGAAGAAUUUACAUGUCAUACCUGCUGUAAUGCAUUCAUGACCCAAGGUUACACAAAACACUUAAGUGUUUGGAUCUCUUGAUAUGGAAAGUCGGCAAAAGUGCUUCGUGCCAUUUUCCAUUGCUCUUCCAAGAUCACAUCUGCUUGGAACUGAACGUAGCAUGUGUUCUGGGGAACCUGUAUGAAAUUAACUUUUAUAGCUGACUUUACAACCAGGAUCUUUUAUUGUCUACAACUUGGCUGGGGUUCAAGAAGUUCCCAAGAUGAUUUACUGUCAUAUGUGCCUAUUGUAUGGUGGUUGAUGAAGCCAAUAUAUUACUGAACAUAUGCAGUCAUUUUGGCUGCAGCCAACAGGUCAUCUAAGCCUUUUAUCUGAAAGGAUUGAGGAGCUUACAUUGCAGAAGGGGGAUGGGGUGUUGAGUAUUUUAAGUGAAAUAAUUACUUGCAGGACCAAAACAGUUGUGUCCAAGUCUGUAAUUCCUCUCUGCUUGCCAAUACUGUAAAAGCUUACUAGAAUCUAGAAUACGUUGUUUCAACAAAGAUUGAAGGUAAUAUCUUCCAAAUAAAUGCAUGAUUACAUUUGUAUAAUAUCUCAGAUGGUUCGUUCAAUUUAUUUGACUAUGGCACUAAGAAUAAAGAUCAGGAAUUUAAAUUUUCUUGGUUCCUAAAGCAACUCUACCCUAAGCCUUUCCCAAGUUAACAGAGAGGCCCUUUUAAGGUAACAUUGUCUUCACAUCGAGAAAAACUUGGUAAAGAGGACGAUAGAAACGAUGGAAUUUCCCUUUAGGAGGAGAAAAUCUUCAGAAACUUGAUUUUAUGUUCGUGGAUCAGGAGAAUUUCCAUCUCUCUCUCUCUCUCUCUCUCUCUCUCUCUCUCUCUCUCUCUUAAGAUUUAUUUAUAUAUUUCAUGUAUGUGAGUACACUGUUGCUGUCUUCAGAUACACCAGAAGAGGGCGCCAGAUCCCAUCACAGAUGGUUGCGAGCCACCAUGUGGUUGCUGGGAUUUGAACUCAGGACCUCUGGGAGAGCAGUCGGUGCUCUUAACCGCUGAGCCAUCUCUCCAGCCUGAGAAUUUCCAUUUUCAAUAGUAGCUUAUGAUUUGAUUAAAUUGGAAUACAGGAAAGAAAAGGGUUAGAUAUAAUUCUAGGCUCUGCAUUUCCAGCAUCAACGAUAUUUGAUUGUAUGACAAAACUUUAGAGAGCACUGUAGCCUGUCUCAGCCGAGAGCUAACAUUUCAGUUAGAAACUGAUAGUCAAAGAUCUGGAAGUUUCAGAUAAAUUUGAACACUAAGGCCAAAGUCUGCAGACAUUAGGCUAUGAGAAGCCUUGGAUCCAAAUUGCUAGUUAUAAUAUCAGGAGGAAACAAGAAAAAGCCAUUAAAUAUUAUAUACAUAUUUGUCUACUGGGUCAUUUGUAAGGUAAACUGAAUUAAACUUAGGUGGAUGGGGGUUUAUUGCUUUGUUUUACGGGACCACACUAUGUAGCCCAGGCUGGCUUUGAACUCUCCAUCCUCCUGAGUGCUCAGAUUAGAAGCAUGAGUCACUACAAUCAGUUUUUCCCUUUACUUAAUGUAAAAAACAAAACAAAACAAAAAAAAAAAAAACAAAAAAAGCUUCCAACUCUCUGGGAACAGAAUUUGUAGCUAAAUUUGGGAUCCUGUUGAAUCCUCACAAAGGUUAUUUUUCUUUAAAGUGGAAGUAAUCUAUAUAUUUACCCCUCUAUUCACCAUCAUAAGGAGUUUGGGUAACAAUGAAUAAUCAUUCUUUCUCUCCCUUCCUUCCUUCCUUCCUUCCUCCCUCCCUCCCUCCCUCCCUCCCUUCCUCCCUCCCUCCCUCCCUCCCUUCCUCUCUCUUUUCCAGUUAGGUGGCCCAAACUCUUCUAAUUCCCCAUGCCUCUCAGGUUGGUCUUGAACUGUAGUAAUUCUCCCGUCACAUUCUCUCAAGUGCUGGUAUCACAAGUAUCCUUGCCUUUGUACAGACAGGAAGCCAAAAGCUGAGUCUACGGAUUUGGCCUUGACGACAAAGCAGCUUAACAUUAAUCCCACCCACACUGGCUUGUGUUUCUGUCCUCAAACUGACCACGGAACAGGACUGAGUCCCAGAGGUGCAAAGGUCCUUGCUCUAGCCUGACUUUACCUUCAUCCCUUUAAUGUGUUAAGAUGAUUGGUUAUUCGACGGAAUAAUGUGUUAAUAAAGUUUAGAAAUACCAUUUAUUUAGCAUUAUGUAUGUGAGUUCCUGACUGAGCACACCCAUUUCCCAGAACAUAUGUGAAGGCCAGAGGACAGCGGGAGGGAGUCAGUUCUCCUCUUUUGUCUUGAUAUCAAACUCAGGAUUCAGACUUGGUGUGUAGUUUUACCUGCUGAACUAUCUCACCAUGUUCUCCAGGCAGGGCAACAUAGCUUUGAGUAAUGAACUAAUCUGUUCUCAGUGUUAGACAAGCCCCUUCACCACAGGCCGUCAGUCCAGGACAGUAUGAUUCCGAAGCUCUAUGGGUCAGGCCGAAAGGGAUCUUUCUGUCCUCGAGGCCGGAAGCAAGCAAUUCAAGAGCACAUCUUUAGCCGGAGGCCUCUCUUCCUGUAGAAGGGAAGUCAGCACAUUUUCAAAGUGUUCCGAAACAGUCAAAUGGGAGGCAUGUUAAUUUGGUGUAAAACUUCAUGUGGCGUUUUACUAAUGCCAAAGAACAAAGCAUGGAGGAUCUGGUGACUAAUUACUAACAGCACUGUCACUAUUUUAUGUAAGUGUGAACAAGGGUCAUAUGUUUCUUAUAGUUGGUCCUGUUGGCGCUCUCCGUCUCACUGGUUAAAUCAUUGUAAUGAGUAGCAAGUAGAUCACUGAGAGCUGCCUACUGUGGGCUCCCCUCUGAACAGUAUUUUGUACUCAUGCCCAGAGGCUCUGGAGGCCAAGGACGUUCUUUAAAUACAGGCAACAGUUAAUCUCAUAGAUUUGAUGCUGGAGAUCUGCUGUAAUACUUAAAGGGGAUGCCGCUGGGAUUUGGUACUACAUGAAGUGGUAGACAGCCAGAUGGAGUCAUGUUGCUGUCCCAGGAACCCGCACUUGCUGAGAGUUCUAGGUCUUUCUAUAGAAGUAGAGCAAACAAUAGACCUUAGCAAAUAAAAAAAACUAUAUGCUUUCGAGGAUUCUGGGAGGGGAAUGGGAUUUGAUAUUUGUUUAAGACCAGAGCAGUGGCCAUGGACACUUGGGUUGGCUUUCUUUUAUCUUGUGUGUGUGUGUGUGUGUGUGUGUGUGUGUGUGUGUGUGUGUAGAAUUGAACCCAAAGUUUUAUUUAUAGUAAACAAGUAUUCUAUUACUGACCAUAUAUAUAAUAUAUAUUUAUAUAUAUACAUAUACAUAUAUAUAUAUAUGUAAAAUUUCAAAGGUCUCAUAUGUUGCCUGAGCUGUUCUUAACUGUGCUUCAGAGCUCAGACAGGCCUUGAAUUUCCAGUCCUCUUGCCUCAGCCUAUCAAGUAGCAGAGGUUAUUAGGUUACACCAUGAGGCCUUCUCUAGCUUAUUAAUACUUUAAAAUGAUGUUAUAUUCAAAAAUCUCGAGGAGACGUAACACUCAGGACAAAAAAAGACAUCCCCCACCCUCCCACAUAAGACCUGGGUGCUCAGGCUCCUUAGUAAGGGCUGGUGGGUGGUUUGUGUGCUUAAAAUAAAAAGGGAAGGUGGCAGGAUAGGUGCUGUAUACCUUAGAUCCCAGUACUUGGAAAGCUGAGGCAGGAGGAUCUUGAAUUUGAGGCUACAUAGGUUGCCUCCAACAACAAACUCCAAUGAGAAGAGAUGCUGAAGGGAAAGACAGAAUAAUUUAAAAGAAAAGGCCUAAAUCACAGAAUCUCAAAGUGUGCUCUAAGGGGAUCUAAAUGCAAUUGUUCUGUCUGUCAUUUGCCCGAUGGGGCGCAGGGCAGAUCGGAGCUUGCAGCUGUUUAAUGGGAGAAUGAGAAUUAGGUUGGUCUCCUAAGCCUCCUGCCCAGUGAAUGGAGAGGUCUCCCACAAUGCCACUUCCUUAAAAUCUUUCUCAUUUCUGAGUUCAUCUCCCCCAGGACAGCAUCUGUGGAGAGAUCUCUGAUCUCAUUCCUCGAGAUGUCAGUGCAUUUGUUGUCCAGCGUGGCUCCAUCUCACAGACCUUGAUCUUGAAGGAUGCUCCAACCACCUCCUCGGGCGGGCCUGUGGACUGGACUCAGAAAAUCCGGCUGUGUUCUUGUUCCUGUCAAGUCCCAGAAUCCCUUAGGGAGUAGCGCUAUUAGGAGGUGUGACCUUGUUGGAAGAAGUGUGUCGCCGUGGGGGUGGGCUUCGAGAGACCUUCCUCUUAGCUGCCUGGAAGCCAGUCUUCUCCUGUCUGCUUUUUGGAACAAGAUGUAGAACUCUCAGCUCCUCCAGCUCCCAGCCCGCCUGGAUGCUGUCAUGCUCCCUGCCAUGAUGAUAAUGGACUGAACCUCAGAACCAGUAAGAAAUAAGAGUUGCUUUGGUCAUGGUGUCCCUUCACAGCAAUGGAAACCCUCGCUAAGACGUUUGUCUUUGUUUGGUGUUACUGGCAUGAAGGUGGCCUGUGGACUGGAAAGCAACAGGUCUGAUGAAGACCCCACGGGUGUCUGAUCCUCCACCAUCGCUUUUGAAGCUUCCCUUGUGCCUAUACUGAGGUAGGCUUUGUGUUCUAUAUUACAUUUCCUUUCCAGGCAGAAUGCAGAUAAUACAAAUUAUUCAACGGCCUGAAUCAUGAACAUUUGUACUAGAAAUGCUGAGUCCUGAUUCUCCCAAGAAGUGACUCAUAAUUAAUAUACUGUAUUUCAUAUACAACAAACAGAGAAACCCAGGGAGGAAUACUGCAUGAAUAUUUUAAAUAUGCAAAAACCAUGAAAAGCUCCCUUAGAUUUAGUUCACACUGUGCUCUUGCCUUAGAUACUGCAAAGAUUUUGAAAUAAAAAAGAUUUUCCAUUUUACCUUUUAGGAACAUAGUAUAAUUUAUCUGCAUGAUUGCAUUUUAAUUAGCAUUCCUAUUGCCUAUUUAAACAUUCAAAGAUAUAAAACAAGCCAACCAAACAGGAAUACAUAUAGCCAAGGCGUUUGCUAUCGUGAUGUUCCCGAGCACUGCCUUGGGAUAAGGCUCAGGGCAGACUCAAGCUUUAAUAGUCUGAACUGGUCCAAAAUUAACCCAUUUAUAUGCAUGAUAUUUUACAUAGGGGUUAGCCUUAGUAGCAAUUGUUGGUAAUGAUGGGUCUUUGUAUAGCCCUAAGUAUCUCUGACAUUCUUUGGGAGCAAAUUAGUCGUUUUUAAAAUUAAAAAUAAAUGGUUUUGUAGAGGACAUUUCUUUCCUCACAAGGCCGAUGUGGUGGUUACGUGUGGCUGUGGAGUGCUGGGAUGCUGAGGGAUAUGCCCCGCUUCCAGGGUGUAAAGAGGUUCACUAGUGUGUGUGACACUAAGGGCUAAGAAGGGCAGGACCAAGGAUUCAACCCAUAAGAGCAGACUUAAUCUUGGAGACAGAGCCUAGCUUCUUUAGAGCACAGCCGCCAGCCGUUGUUUAGCCCAGUGUCUGCUGCCGUUCUAAGAGCAUGCUUUCAAAAGUUUGAGCCUAAGCUAAUAAGAUUCAAAAAUAAAGGAAAAACAAGGAGAAUUUGCCUUUCUGUGCUUAUAGCUUCCGAUAUCUUUCUAUGGAACAUCUUCAUGGGCUCGGCAGUUGUGGUCAAUGCUAAUUCUAGGCCUUUUUGGUAGGGGCCAUGAAGGAUCAGGUGAGUUAUAGGUUGGGCUGCUGGUCAGCUAGUUAUGAAGAUCUAUUAGUGAUAUGUAGUGAUUGGUUUUAUAUAGUUGUUGAUAAAUGUAUACAGUAGUCAUAUGGUAUAGAAAGACACUCAGAAGCAGUAAGGCAUGUGGAUGAUGAAGUGAUGGCAUGGCUAUUAUGACAUCACAGUAUAACCCAUUGUAAGUUUCUGGUGAUGCUGCUGUUAACAAAUCUGUUGGGUGGCUAGUCCUUAUAGUCCUGUAAAUCUGUGGCAUAUAUAAUUACGUACCUUGUAUAAUGCUGAUAAUGGUAAUAAAUGACCAUGUUAUCUU
Rattus norvegicus (Norway rat) is the source of this 10235-nucleotide long non-coding RNA. RefSeq lists it as uncharacterized. The record is from RefSeq and is a predicted model, not a curated record. NCBI's taxonomy places the organism in Eukaryota, Metazoa, Chordata, Mammalia, Rodentia, Muridae.